Molecule: ribosomal RNA, 778 nt
Filed under: uncultured bacterium
Lineage: Bacteria
Description: bacterial SSU rRNA
Rfam family: Bacterial small subunit ribosomal RNA
Source: RNAcentral
UGCAGUCGAACGCGAACGUAUCUUCGGAUACUAGUAGAGUGGCGGACGGGUGAGUAACACGUGGGAAUAUGCCUUUCGGUACGGAACAACGCCUGGAAACGGGUGCUAAUACCGUAUACGCCCUCAGGGGGAAAGAUUUAUCGCCGAAAGAUUAGCCCGCGCUGGAUUAGCUAGAUGGUGAGGUAAGAGCUCACCAUGGCGACGAUCCAUAGCUGGUUUGAGAGGAUGAUCAGCCACACUGGGACUGAGACACGGCCCAGACUCCUACGGGAGGCAGCAGUGGGGAAUAUUGGACAAUGGGGGCAACCCUGAUCCAGCCAUGCCGCGUGAGUGAUGAAGGCCCUAGGGUUGUAAAACUCUUUCAGCAGGGAUGAUAAUGACAGUACCUGCAGAAGAAGCUCCGGCUAACUCCGUGCCAGCAGCCGCGGUAAUACGGAGGGAGCUAGCGUUGUUCGGAAUUACUGGGCGUAAAGCGCGCGUAGGCGGCUUGGAAAGUUAGAGGUGAAAGCCCGGGGCUCAACCCCGGAACUGCCUCUAAAACUCCCAAGCUAGAAUCCUGGAGAGGUGAGUAGAAUUCCUAGUGUAGAGGUGAAAUUCGUAGAUAUUAGGAAGAAUACCAGUGGCGAANGCGGCUCACUGGCCAGGUAUUGACGCUGANGUGCGAAAGCGUGGGGAGCGAACAGGAUUAGAUACCCUGGUAGUCCACGCCGUAAACGAUGAGUGCUNGGUGUUGGGUAGCUUGCUAUUCAGUGCCGCAGCUAACGCGUUAAGCACUCCG